AAUAUGUCUAACCUUACAAUUUUUUAUUGUUUUUUUGGAGGUCAAAAGGGGUCUGAACGAGUUUCCAAUUAUCUCAGAAAUACAAAUCAUUCUCAUCCAGUUGUACUCACUGCUUCGCCCUCCGAUCUGCCACUCCACCACCAUGAUUUCUCCUUUCGAUUUUUGAAGUUCCGAAGCUAAGCCCAAACCAAACCCGACCCACCGCUGAGACUGUCGUCAUUGUGAAAUGGGUAAAUCAACAUCCUCUCUGCUUCUUAUAUGCAAUCGUUUGAUUAUUAGAGUAAGCCUUCCAUUUCGUGCUUUUACUUCUCAUUAUUGUUCUACUAUUAGAGAAAAUGCGAAAGCCCCAUAUCAGAAACGGAAUCAGUUGUUGAAUUCUGUGAGAGAUCACUGCAAAUCUGGAACCUUUAAAAAUCUUGAUCAUGCCUUAGGCCUGUUUGAUAUAAUGCUUCGCAUGCACCCUUUGCCUUUCAUUGGAUAUUUUAAUCAAUUGUUGGGUGCGGUUGCAAGAAUGAAGCAUUACUCUGUAGUAAUUACUCAAAUUAAACGAAUGGAAUCAUUCGGAAUCUCUCCCAAUGUUUAUACUCUCACUGUUUUGAUUAAUUGCUACUGCCAUAUGAGUUGGGUCGAUUUUGGAUUCUCUGUCUUAGCAACAAUUUUGAAACUUGGUUAUCAACCAAAUCAUAUAACUCUAACCACUCUUGUCAAUGGGCUGUGUCUUCGAGGUAACAUUGCUGGAGCUGUUAGGCUGGUAGAAGAAAUGGAGAAUAAAGGUUAUGAACCUGAUGUAAUUACUUGUAAAACAUUAGUGAACGGUCUGUGUAAGAUUGGGGAGACUGGUGUGGCUAUUAGGUUGCUCAGGAAGAUGGAGAAAGGGGGUUUUGAACCCGAUGUGGUGCUCUAUAGCAUGGUCAUUGACAGUUUAUGUAAGGACAGAUUGGUAAAUGAUGCUUUGAACCUUUCAUCUGAAAUGAUGAGUAAAGGCAUUCAGCCAAAUGUUGUCACUUACAAUUGCUUAGUUCAAGGACUAUGCAAUUCUGGCCGGUGGAGGGAGGCUGCUACCUUGUUGAAUGAGAUGGGACAAAGGAAGAUCAUGCAAAAUGUGCGAACCUUCAGCAUACUGGUGGACACACUUUGCAAGGAAGGGAUGUUGACUGAGGCAAAAUAAGUUUUUGAAGUGAUGAUUCAAAGAGGCAUUGAGCCUGACAAAGUCACUUACAAUUCUUUGAUUGAUGGUCAUUGUUUGCAAAACCAAAUGGAUGAGGCAGUUAAGACAUUUAAUAUGAUGGUUGAGAAGGGUUGUUCACCCGAUGUGUUUAGCUAUAACAUAUUGAUCAAUGGAUAUUGCAAAAGUAAAAAAAUUGAUGAGGCAAUGCGUAUCUUUCAUGAAAUGUCCAACAAGGGAGUGAUUCCUAAUGUUAUGACUUACAACACUCUUAUUGAUGGGUUUUUCAAAGUGGAGAGACCCCAGGCUGCACUGGAGCUAUUCCAUAAGAUGCAAGCUUGUGGCCAACAUCCAGAUCCCCAAACCUAUGCCAUCUUGUUAGAUGGAUUUUGUAAGAAUAGACGAAUUGUUGAGGCAAUGGCAUUGUUUCAGGAGAUGGAAGAAAAAAAGUUGGACCACAAUAUUGUGUUUUACAACAUCUUGAUUGAUGGUUUCUGCAAUGUUGGGGAACUUACAACUGCAAGAGAAAUCUUUAGCAGUCUUUUUGCAAAAGGAUUGCAACCUAAUGUUCGGACUUACACUAUAAUGGUCAAAGGGUUUUGCAAAGAGGGGCUAAUUGAUGAAGCGAUCGAGUUGCUUGAGAAAAUGGAAGGCAAUGGUUGUUCACCUAACGAGCACACAUAUAACACAUUAAUCCAAGGGUUAUUGCAACAUGGUGAGACAGCAAAGGCAAUGAAAUAUCUCAAAAUGAUGGUUGACGAGGGAUUUUCAGCAAACGCAACAACUGCUGCCAUGUUUAUUGACUUGCUGUCAUCUAAUCAAGUAGAUGAAAAUAUUCGAGAGCUGCUUCCAAAGUCUGGGUGAAGGGGAAGUUAUAAAACUUGUGGUGUUUCAGGUACAAAUCUGAUUUUUAGUGAAUGCUCAUCAAUGUUGAGGCUGUCCUAGUCUUCUGCAUAAUUUUUGUUUUUGCACUUGCAGGGAAGCCUUUGAUAGGCAACAAUAAUCUAUAAAAGGGAACCUAAAUCAAGGCCUUGUGAAAUGUAUGAGCUGACAAGGUAGGAAGAGCUUACGAAUACUACUAUUAAAAUGGCUGAACAGAGUAAAGUUCUUAACACCCCUGGGGCAGAGAAACAAACCAAAAGAGAGUUGUUUGAUGCGCUAAGGCAGGAACUUGAAGCUCCAGUGCUGGAGAAAGCUUCUAAAUCAGUUUGGGAGCUAAUUUUGGACAGUAAUGGUCUGGGGAAGGAAAUUAGUGAGAUGGUUGAAAAGGUAUUUUCUUGAUUGAGUGGCCGGGAACCUCCAUUGUUUCCCCUGCCAGACGGUGAGACUCAUACUAAUAAAGAAAUUGAGAAUGAAAAAGAAAAAGGAAAAGGAAAAGAAUGGGCUAAUGAAAACAAAGAAAAGGAGUUUUAGUGAAUUGAAUGCAGGAGGUGCAUGUGAAGCUGCAAGUAUAUCUGGUGAUCCUCCAGCCAUACUAGAAGAUUCUAGUAAAUCACCCAACCAAGUUUGAAGACAUGAGUCACUAUGUCAUGCCAAUAGCUUUGUGGCUCAAUGCCAUUACUGUUUUUCUCAAGAGCAGAACCUGGGUUCAAACAUCACCUCCCCCACU
Quercus lobata is the source of this 2774-nucleotide RNA transcript. It is a transcript of the gene named putative pentatricopeptide repeat-containing protein At1g12700, mitochondrial, with no coding region annotated. Lineage: Eukaryota; Viridiplantae; Streptophyta; Magnoliopsida; Fagales; Fagaceae. The transcript is spliced from 4 exons. The record is from RefSeq and is a predicted model, not a curated record.